RNAcentral lists this unclassified non-coding RNA (495 nucleotides) under uncultured Paraglomus. RNAcentral's name for it is "SSU rRNA". It matches the Rfam family "Eukaryotic small subunit ribosomal RNA", at positions 591 to 1092 of the family's 1831-position model. Lineage: Eukaryota; Fungi; Glomeromycota; Glomeromycetes; Paraglomerales; Paraglomeraceae. The record is from RNAcentral.
CCAAUAGCGUAUAUUAAAGUUGUUGUGGUUAAAAAGCUCGUAGUUGAACCUUGGGCCUGGCUGGCCGGUCCGCCUCACCGCGUGUACUGGUCCGGCCGGGCCUUUCCCUCUGUGGAACCUCAUGCCCUUCACUGGGUGUGACGGGGAAGCAGGACUUUUACUGUGAAAAAAUUAGAGUGCUCCAAGCAGGCCUAUGCUCGAAUACAUUAGCAUGGAAUAAUAAAAUAGGACGGGCGGUUCUAUUUUGUUGGUUUCUAGGACCGACGUAAUGAUUAAUAGGGACAGUCGGGGGCAUCAGUAUUAAAUUGUCAGAGGUGAAAUUCUUGGAUUUAUUGAAGACUAACUACUGCGAAAGCAUUUGCCAAGGAUGUUUUCAUUAAUCAGGAACGAAAGUUAGGGGAUCGAAGACGAUCAGAUACCGUCGUAGUCUUAACCAUAAACUAUGCCGACUAGGGAUCGGACGAUGUUAUUUUUUGACUCGUUCGGCACCUUACG